AAUGGGGGAAACCCUGAUGCAGCGACGCCGCGUGAGCGAUGAAGCCCUUCGGGGUGUAAAGCUCUUUCGACGGGAACGAUAAUGACGGUACCCGGAGAAGAAGCUGCGGCUAACUACGUGCCAGCAGCCGCGGUAAUACGUAGGCAGCAAGCGUUGUUCGGAGUUACUGGGCGUAAAGAGUACGUAGGCGGUUUGCUAAGUCUGGUGUGAAAUCUCCUGGCUUAACUGGGAGGGUGCGCUAGAUACUGGCAGGCUUGAGUAUGGGAGAGGAGAGUGGAAUUCCUGGUGUAGCGGUGAAAUGCGUAGAUAUCAGGAGGAACGCCGGUGGUGUAGACGGCUCUCUGGACCAUUACUGACGCUGAGGUACGAAAGCGUGGGUAGCAAA
This 385-nucleotide ribosomal RNA is filed under the name uncultured bacterium. RNAcentral's name for it is "bacterial SSU rRNA". It matches the Rfam family "Bacterial small subunit ribosomal RNA", at positions 370 to 772 of the family's 1533-position model. The record is from RNAcentral.